GAUGAACGCUGGCGGCGUGCCUAAUACAUGCAAGUCGAGCGAACAGACGAGGAGCUUGCUCCUCUGACGUUAGCGGCGGACGGGUGAGUAACACGUAGAUAACCUACCUAUAAGACUGGGAUAACUUCGGGAAACCGGAGCUAAUACCGGAUAAUAUAUUGAACCGCAUGGUUCAAUAGUGAAAGACGGUUUUGCUAUCACUUAUAGAUGGAUCUGCGCCGCAUUAGCUAGUUGGUAAGGUAACGGCUUACCAAGGCGACGAUACGUAGCCGACCUGAGAGGGUGAUCGGCCACACUGGAACUGAGACACGGUCCAGACUCCUACGGGAGGCAGCAGUAGGGAAUCUUCCGCAAUGGGCGAAAGCCUGACGGAGCAACGCUGCGUGAGUGAUGAAGGUCUUCGGAUCGUAAAACUCUGUUAUUAGGGAAGAACAAAUGUGUAAGUAACUGUGCACGUCUUGACGGUACCUAAUCAGAAAGCCACGGCUAACUACGUG
RNAcentral lists this ribosomal RNA (497 nucleotides) under uncultured bacterium. Its description in RNAcentral is "partial 16S ribosomal RNA". It matches the Rfam family "Bacterial small subunit ribosomal RNA", at positions 28 to 507 of the family's 1533-position model. The record is from RNAcentral.